RNAcentral lists this ribosomal RNA (433 nucleotides) under uncultured bacterium. RNAcentral's name for it is "partial 16S ribosomal RNA". It matches the Rfam family "Bacterial small subunit ribosomal RNA", at positions 29 to 507 of the family's 1533-position model. The record is from RNAcentral.
AACGAACGCUGGCGGCAUGCCUAACACAUGCCAGUCGAACGAGGCCUUCGGGUCUAGUGGCGCACGGGUGCGUAACGCGUGGGAACCUGCCCUUAGGUUCGGAAUAACUCCCCGAAAGGGGUGCUAAUACCGGAUAAUGUCUUCGGACCAAAGAUUUAUCGCCUUUGGAUGGGCCCGCGUUGGAUUAGCUAGUUGGUAGGGUAAAAGCCUACCAAGGCGACGAUCCAUAGCUGGUCUGAGAGGAUGAUCAGCCACACUGGGACUGAGACACGGCCCAGACUCCUACGGGAGGCAGCAGUGGGGAAUAUUGGACAAUGGGCGAAAGCCUGAUCCAGCAAUGCCGCGUGAGUGAUGAAGGCCUUAGGGUUGUAAAGCUCUUUUACCCGGGAUGAUAAUGACAGUACCGGGAGAAUAAGCGCCGGCUAACUCCGUG